CAUUAUUCCACCUGACCGUUUGAUCUUUUCUUGAAUGGGUUCCCACGUGGCUGUUAGGUGAGAUACGAACCGUGACAUGUAGUUCAAUCUACCUAGGAGACCACGAACCUCUCUUUCCGUUCUCGGUUCAGGCAUUUCUUGUUUUUUUUUUUUAAGCAGGAUCAACCUCGAUUCCUCUCUUACAAUGAACCCCAACAUCUUACCGGACCGCACUCUGAAAGUGCACUUAUUUGAAUUCAACCUCAGUUUGAAUUGUCUCAACUGGUCCACUCAGCUUG
Molecule: long non-coding RNA, 278 nt
Filed under: Lathyrus oleraceus (garden pea)
Lineage: Eukaryota; Viridiplantae; Streptophyta; Magnoliopsida; Fabales; Fabaceae
Description: Pisum sativum (pea) long non-coding RNA (PSAT_LNC017731)
Source: RNAcentral